RNAcentral lists this long non-coding RNA (217 nucleotides) under Mytilus galloprovincialis (Mediterranean mussel). The record is from RNAcentral. Lineage: Eukaryota; Metazoa; Mollusca; Bivalvia; Mytilida; Mytilidae.
CUGUGUCGAACCUAUUUCCCCGGGCGGAGUCUUUAGCAACAUGCACUAUUUUUUUUUCCGGCAGCAAUCAUUAACAUCUUUCUCCAAAUUUCAUAACACGAUUUGUUUUAAUUAUCAUAAACAUUUAAUUGAAACUUUAGCACAUUUAACGUCGGAAAUUAGCGUCUUUAGGAUUUUAGACGUUUUCAGACAUUUUGAAAAAAUGGCUACCGUUUUG